RNAcentral lists this ribosomal RNA (301 nucleotides) under uncultured bacterium. Its description in RNAcentral is "partial 16S ribosomal RNA". It matches the Rfam family "Bacterial small subunit ribosomal RNA", at positions 509 to 807 of the family's 1533-position model. The record is from RNAcentral.
CAGCAGCCGCGGGAAUACGUAGGGUGCGAGCGUUAAUCGGAAUUACUGGGCGUAAAGCGUGCGCAGGCGGUUUUGUAAGACAGGCGUGAAAUCCCCGGGCUCAACCUGGGAAUGGCGCUUGUGACUGCAAAGCUAGAGUGCGGCAGAGGGGGAUGGAAUUCCGCGUGUAGCAGUGAAAUGCGUAGAGAUGUGGAGGAACACCGAUGGCGAAGGCAGCCCCCUGGGCCAAUACUGACGCUCAUGCACGAAAGCGUGGGGAGCAAAUGGGAUUAGAUACCCCCGUAGUCCCUGUCUCUUAUAC